This 461-nucleotide ribosomal RNA is filed under the name Lecidella stigmatea. RNAcentral describes it as "eukaryotic LSU rRNA". It matches the Rfam family "Eukaryotic large subunit ribosomal RNA", at positions 140 to 605 of the family's 3401-position model. Lineage: Eukaryota; Fungi; Ascomycota; Lecanoromycetes; Lecanorales; Lecanoraceae. The record is from RNAcentral.
GAGUUGUAAUUUGUAGAGGAUGUUUCGGGCGCGGCGCCGGUCUAAGUCCCUUGGCACAGGGCGUCACAGAGGGUGAGAAUCCCGUAUGUGACCGGCGACCAACCCCAUGUGAAACCCCUUCGACGAGUCGAGUUGUUUGGGAAUGCAGCUCAAAAUGGGUGGUAAAUUUCAUCUAAAGCUAAAUACCGGCCAGAGACCGAUAGCGCACAAGUAGAGUGAUCGAAAGAUGAAAAGCACUUUGGAAAGAGAGUCAAACAGUACGUGAAAUUGUUGAAAGGGAAGCGCUUGCAAUCAGACCUGUCCGCGGGCGUUCCACCUCCGUUCUCGGGGGCCCACUCGCCCGUGAUCAGGCCAGCAUCGGUUCGGGCGGCCGGAUAAAGGCCUUGGGAAUGUAGCUCCCCUCGGGGAGAACUUAUAGCCCUCGGUGCAAUGCGGCCAGCCAGGACCGAGGACCGCGCUCG